This 310-nucleotide long non-coding RNA is filed under the name Zostera marina. Its description in RNAcentral is "long non-coding RNA (ZMAR_LNC005306)". Lineage: Eukaryota; Viridiplantae; Streptophyta; Magnoliopsida; Alismatales; Zosteraceae. The record is from RNAcentral.
GCCAGUCGUACCGCUACUGUUUAACAUUCUGUUCUGUUGAAAGAUCCUCCGACUAGGCGAAACAAGAGCGAGUUUAUUUUUGUGAAUUGCAGGCUAUGUCCUGGUAGCAGACUUCUUCCUGCAUCCAAUAGAGAGCGUAGGCCUACUCCCCGUCCUGUUUUAACCUUGGACGAAGGGAAUUCUGUACAGAGGUUGGCCCACCUUCACGAAAUCGCGGUGCUAGUUGGUCACGCGAUAGAUGACAUUUUUUAUCGCAAAGGUUUCUUUUUUAGAGUUAAUAUUCGUAUGUGUGUUCUCUACUUUAUUAACU